RNAcentral lists this long non-coding RNA (370 nucleotides) under Oryctolagus cuniculus (rabbit). Its description in RNAcentral is "lncRNA (ENSOCUG00000033844.1)". Lineage: Eukaryota; Metazoa; Chordata; Mammalia; Lagomorpha; Leporidae. The record is from RNAcentral.
UCUCAUCUGGUCAUUAUGUCCUCCCUACACUCUUCUUCUCCCUUUCUGAAUACACUUUUACAACAGCCUGUCCCGGAAAUGCUGCAAUCAUGAAAGCCAAGAGUACCUUCAUUGCUUCCAAGUGACUCUGAUCUGACUGGGAAGAGACACAAACAUGCUUUAAGGAUUUCCUGUUGGCAUGGGAAAUCCAAUGAUGUGCUCAAGAACCAGAAUACUCUUAGAAUGCAGAGAAGUACAACUGUUGCACUCAUGGAAAAGGCCUUUGGCUUCUGUGAACGUAGAAGAUUUCCCUCCCUUAUUUCACUUCCUUGCCCCAAGAAUCAAGGGUCCCCUAAGGAGAACAGAGAGCAAGUGUGCCUUUGAAAAGCAG